CGUACACUCCUGCGGGAGGCAGCAGUGGGGAAUAUUGCACAAUGGGCGCAAGCCUGAUGCAGCCAUGCCGCGUGUAUGAAGAAGGCCUUCGGGUUGUAAAGUACUUUCAGCGGGGAGGAAGGCGAUAAGGUUAAUAACCUUGUCGAUUGACGUUACCCGCAGAAGAAGCACCGGCUAACUCCGUGCCAGCAGCCGCGGUAAUACGGAGGGUGCAAGCGUUAAUCGGAAUUACUGGGCGUAAAGCGCACGCAGGCGGUCUGUCAAGUCGGAUGUGAAAUCCCCGGGCUCAACCUGGGAACUGCAUUCGAAACUGGCAGGCUAGAGUCUUGUAGAGGGGGGUAGAAUUCCAGGUGUAGCGGUGAAAUGCGUAGAGAUCUGGAGGAAUACCGGUGGCGAAGGCGGCCCCCUGGACAAAGACUGACGCUCAGGUGCGAAAGCGUGGGGAGCAAACAGGAUUAGAAACCCGAGUAGUCCC
Molecule: ribosomal RNA, 475 nt
Filed under: uncultured organism
Description: partial 16S ribosomal RNA
Rfam family: Bacterial small subunit ribosomal RNA
Source: RNAcentral